AAUUAAGGCAAAUAGAGGAGAUUAAUCCCCCCAUGUAAGAAGCAAAUUUGGCUCAGAGACUAUAUGAAUGAUUGACUGUUGAAUUGGAUUUCCCCUGAGUCUGUGGUUUAUUGUCGCUUAAACUUGGUAAAAGUCGCAGAUGCCGACCCUUCCAUUCUAAGGAAAAUUCGUUUGCUCUUCCAUAAUAACUUGCACCAACAUCAAAUUGCCACAUUCUUCCCAAGAUUAGGUGACAAACAUCCAUUUCCAGAAUGUGACACAGAACAUCACAUACAUAUUGUUUUCUAAUGGGAAAUGUUACUUGACACAUUUUCGUAACCAUCAUCUCCAUACACUGAUUUUGUAUGGAUAUGGAUUUUUUGUAGUUUUAAAUUGAAGAGCUUGGACAACACAUCUGGAGAUUAUAUUCUCAGUAUAGCCACUAUCGAUGAGAAGGUCGUAGACCUUGCUGUUAAUGGAACUCUGCGUCCUGAAGAUGGCAUUGCGCUGAGAAGCAAUGGAUUGUCGAGGGGCUAUCAAUAAUUUCUUCAUGACGCAAAGUAACGGCUCUCCUUCAUCCCCUUCAAUGUCUUCAACUUCUCCCCCUCCUACUUCUAUAUGGCUCGUGCCAUCUCCUGCUUCAGCUUCUACUAUAUGUAGUUGUUGUCUUUGUGGACAUUCCAGGUUGGAAACAAUAUAAGCAUUUAAGUGCAGAGGGCUUAACAUAAGGAUUGGCUUUAGCUUUCAUUUUAAAUUUGAGAUGAGAUUUGCUAUCUUGAGGGACUCCAGCUUAUUUAUUUGCAUGAAUAGCAUGAGUGAAGGAUUGUGCGACACUUGUGUUCUUGAAAACAAAUGGAUUAUUCUUGUUUGUUUCUUGUGUAAUUUCAGGAAAAUGACGUCGGUUGUGGUGAAGCCGAUAAGGAUGAUUUUGCUGCAUUUUUUGCCUUCAACGCAAAAUUUAUAGCCCAUGAUAGAGACCAUACCGAAUUCAGCUCCAAUUUAUCUUGUAUACUAUCCUUGAUACCACCAAUACAUUGGGCUACUAGUUAAUUAGUGGACUCGUUGUUGUUAUUUCUCGCACUCAACAUGUAAAAUUCUUCAGUAUAGUUAUUCAUGGAACGAUUACUUUGGAUACAAUGCUGAUACUUCAUGUAUAAUAUUUGCUCAUAGUCCAUAGAGAGAAAACGGGUUCGCAACAAUUGUUUCAUCCGUAUCCAACUGCGCACCUGGCCUUUCCCUUCACGUUGCCUCAUCUGUAAUAGAUUCCAUUGAUAAAACGGAGGUCGGUGAUUCUCAUUACCUUCAUCUUUUCAUCAGAGUCCAACAAAUCCAUUCCACGAAGUAUUUGAGUAUCAUCUUCUGAAUCUGAUACUUCUUGAGUUGGCAGGGGGGUUCGACGCAUCUAUCGGUCAAGGUCCAUUCCUCUACGAGCACCCUGUAUGGUUGCCGGUGCUAUAUCUCUGUGGAACUGAUGGGGUGGUUUCCUUGUCCGAUUGAGAUUAAACUCACCUUGCAUUUCAAUGGAUUGAUGUUAAACGUCGGCAGAAAACUCCUCAAGCUGUCGUGAGAUAUUUAGCUUGGUAACUAAUUACAUAUCAAGUGAAUCCCUCUUCUCCAACUUGGAAUAUUGGAGUUCAGCUAAAUUUGAAGUUCAAUUUGUAUUUGAAUGGAGGCACAGCACAGACCAAAUGAAAUCAAGUUCGUCCAUGAAACAGAUGAAAAUGUUUGGUAUCUGGCUGGCUUAAGUUUAGACAUCUAUCACCCUCUCAACUAACCUCUCACCCACCAAAACACCUAGUAAAAAUCACCUUGAAUACAAUUUGAAUAAUAUUUUGGGCAAUCAUCAUCUUAUGUCAGUAUUAAUCAGUUCUUGCCGUCUAUCUGCAAGUUCAAAUUCUAACCUCUAUCCAAGAUGGCGUGUCGAACUUUGUCCAUAUUUGAGUUGCUAGUUCUCAGCAGCUAAGAAAUUAUAGCAUGCAAACGAAUUGGCAAUAAGUUGCAUAGUUGUUUAAGCUCUUUAACAGAAAUAUUUUUUGACCAAUGGGUACAAAAAUAUUAUUUUAGCUUUCCUUUUAUACCCUUCCAAAGUGAUGAAGAUUAUAAUCCUAAGAUAUCAACAUACAACAAUAAUAACAACAUCAAAUCUUUAUCUUAUCAUGUGGGGUCAGUUACAUGAAUUUUUUUUCUCUAUUGUGUCCUAUUAAGAUAUAAUCCUAGGAUAUCAUUUAAAUAAAAUCAAAUUAUCAAAAAUACUAAAAUUCAACCUUUAUGAAGAUUUUCUGUCUACUUAAACACAAAUUUGAAUGAAAAGAUCAUAGCAUUUUAAUCUCUUAUCCUUUUAAAUUGGUUACACUCCCACAAAACAUGGAGAUACAUUGAAGCCCUAAGCCGGACUCUCUUUCAUCUCAUUUGUUUCUUGCUAAUCUCCAAUCUCCAAUCUCCAAUCUCCACUCACUUCAUUAGUGAUUUUCUUGUUGUUCUUUGUUUCUGUCAUUAACUUAUUAAUCAUCGUUGUUGAAGUCCUCUGCUGACAUAUCCCUCAUUUUGUUUUAUUAAUCAUCGUUGUUGAAGUCCUCUGCUGAGAUAUCCCUAAAUUCGGCUCAUUUUGUUUUAUUUUGAAAUUUAUUUAUGUUUGAUUUUAUAUAUUUGUGUCAAUUAAAUUUUAAUUUUUGAAUUAAUUUCAUUCUUCUUAUAUUUGAUCUUAAUUAUAUUUAAUAUGAAAUUUAUGAGGCUUACAUUGAACCUCAUUAUAGCUAAAAUACCUACUUUAUUAAAGCAUUGUCAAGUAGCCAAUUUGACAUGCUUUAAUGGUUCCUGCGAUCAAGUUUCAAGUCUUUCAGUCUUUUGAACUGAACAUGGUAGCUUGCGACUGCUAAUUUUUUAUGUUAAUUCUGGCCAUUUGACAAACUGCUGGGACAAACAACAGGGCUCUGACUGUCUCUUUAAAGAGAACAAGUGUGGGACCCAAAAAAAAAAAACGCCAUAAGUUAUGUCGUCUUAAAUAUUAAUGGGCUGAUUGGCAACAAUCAAUAUUUGACUCAAGUAGGAUUUAGUAAAUCUUGAGAGAUUAAAACUCGAAAAUUGUUUGCAUAUCCACUGUUAAAUCUUGUUAAAUCCUGCUAAAUUCAUGAAUAUUUAUUUUAAGAUCUAAGUUUUAUGAGAGGAAUAAAUUUUUAAAUUUGUUAAAUCCGAUGAAUUUUAUGAGAUUAAGCAAACCCUGAAUUUAGUUAAUGACAAAGUUAAUAUUGGAUUUACUAAAAUAAUAAAUUUGAAGUCAUUGAAAUUUUGUCUGGCAGAAAAUAGGAUACCAAACAGCCCCUAAAAGUCUCUUGGCUCUGGAAGGGGAACAACCUUGAACUGUCUCUAUUAUCAUUAUCAUGUUUGUAAGCUCUUAUUAAGACAAACUUAUAUAUAUAUAUAUAUUUCAUGAAGCAAUGAUGAUUUGAUGGCACAAGGCAGCUUUUUUAUCAGCUUUUUGUCUCUGCAAUUCAGUCUCUUUUAGCGUUUGGAGAUUACUUGCUGUCAUUUCCUGUAUGGAGAAUCCUGUGAGUUUUACCAUCUUCCAGCUUUGACUUAAAUUUCAUGAAGCAGUUCGCAACCUGUAUUUGUUAUGUUCUCAAUGAUUAGCAUUUCAAAAUAUCAUCCUAAAUAAAUACAAGUUGGUUGAACCUAUUACCUACCGCCUAAUAGACUAAGAUUUUGACAGACUACCAGCUUAGCACUUUCACAUUAUUUUCAAGCUGUUGCUGCUCGACAAAAAAACUUAUCACUAUUUCCUUUAUAUAUUACAGUUCUUUUCUAUUGUUCUUUAUUCUCAGGAUUCAAACUACUCAGUACUCAACUGCAACAUUUCAACUUCUAUUGUGUACCUGCUACUGGUUUCCAUGCUAUUUUUUUCUCUCUGACUUGAUCCAAUAUCACAAAUCUAUACUUUUUUGCUUCAAGGCUUUGUGCUCAAUCAAUAUUUGCUAGCUGCCAGUAUAAAAAUACUAGUCUAGAUUAUUCUGUGCGGACAUCGGACGGGAGAACCAUCCGGUACCGCUCGGUAUCGAGUUCGGUACACUUUUGGGGUGAUGUGGCGCAUUUUUAUUGGUUUCUGGGCGACGUCCUGACACCGCACGUAAUAAUUUGCCCUGAAAUGGAAACCUCACCUUACUCCACCUCAUGUUUCUCCAACCUACCCGGUUACCUAAAGAGUCAAGCAACCUCUUCUAACCAAAUCCUUAUAACACCUUAAAAGCACUAUUCUUAAUGUGUCCCCAUGUCAUUAAGGAUUUCACUCAUGAAAACCUUGGUUUCCUUCCUCUCCCAUUUCCUUGAGGAUGUUUCCAAGGCAUGGAUAGGAGGUGAAGAAUGCACAACAGAGGAGUUUCAAAUGGAUUGCUGUGUCUGCCUUUCAAGCUUGGAUGAAGGAGAUGUAACAAGGAAGUUGCCCUGCCACCAUAUGUUCCAUCGGGGCUGUGUCGAUCAAUGGUUGGCUAUGCGUCGAAGGACCUGCCCUCUCUGUCGCCUGUCGGUCGAUGCGCAGCCUUUGGCUGCUGGGGAUUUGGACUUCAAUGAUGAACUGGUUAUUAGGUUCUCAGCUUUUCUUGCUCCAGGUUACUGAAAUGAAGAACAAGGCUACAGAAACCAAAAUUGGAUCCUAGAAGAUUAUUGACUGACUCAUUAAAUCCUGAUUUUAUAUUACUUAUUUUGCCUUGUGAAGCUUUGUGGGAAAAAAAUUGCUUAAGAUUUUAGUCGGGUUUCCAGGUGAAAGUUAUGUUCUGUUGCAUUAUGUUGAAUUCAUGUGCAGCUGCAGGCCGACAGCAAAGCUGCUACAGACAAAUAGACAAAUCUUAUCAGAAUUCUGUUAUGGAUUUCAGAUAGUUUAGUUUUUUUUUUUUUUUUUGUGAAUUUUUGUUAGUUUUUAUGUCCUUCGGUAAAGUAAAAAGAAAAAAAAAAGUUAAUUUUCCUGAUAGUGAUUUUAGAUGCUUUGUCAAUGGCAAUUCAGUGGCCCAUAGCGAUUAGUAUCAUUACAUGCUUUUACAAACUAUGGGAUUAUUUGAUUGUAAGAUUUAUAGUU
Dendrobium catenatum is the source of this 5041-nucleotide long non-coding RNA. RefSeq lists it as uncharacterized. NCBI's taxonomy places the organism in Eukaryota, Viridiplantae, Streptophyta, Magnoliopsida, Asparagales, Orchidaceae. The record is from RefSeq and is a predicted model, not a curated record. The transcript is spliced from 2 exons.